AUAAAAAUGUAAAGUUUAUUUGAUGUUUUCGCCGCGACGAUUCGAAAUGAAACGAAGAAAUUAGCAGAAGUGAAGGUCACCGGAGAGGUGAAUGAGGAUUUUACCACUGGAACUAGAGAGCUUGGCUCUGACUGGUCUACUACAGCAAGGAAUGUGCCAGGGGCCAAUCUGAUGAACAUGUGGCAGAAGAUUUGGCAAUGGGUGAAGAAACACUGAGAUUGAAAUGCAACCACAGGUGGAGGCUUCACCCAAACUUUUCAGACGGAUGCGAGAUACAAAGUUACCCAAGUAUAAAUGGUUGAAGGUUUUGGAGAGCCAGACAAGAAGGCAGGAAAUGUGAUGUCACUUUUACUUCAAUAAACAUGAACAGCAGCAGGAGCAACAACAGCAUCAGCAGCCGAAACCUCAACUGCAAUAAGAGAUGCAGCAACCGCACCGACAACAUCAAGAGCAACAGCAAAAAUACCUACAUGUAUUACAGCAGAAAUGCAACAAUCACAUUGGCAACAUCAACAGCAGCAGGAGCUCCAACAACCAUGCAGGGAACAUCGCGCGCAACAUAAAUAACUUCAUCAAGAGAUGCAACAACCACAGUGGUAAACAUCAACAGCAGUAGCGACAACGACAGUAGAAACAAAGCCAAUGUCAAGGAUUAAGCAAUCAUACAGGAAACAACACAAGCGGCAACAUCAAUAAAUGCAUCAGGGGAUGCAACAGCCAUACUUGUAAACAGCAGCAGUAGCAGCGAUGACAAGAGCAACCACACAGGCAACACCUUGAGCAACAUCAGUAGCAAUGCACCAGCAAUGAAACAAUCACACCAACAACACCAA
Molecule: long non-coding RNA, 833 nt
Filed under: Lytechinus variegatus (green sea urchin)
Lineage: Eukaryota; Metazoa; Echinodermata; Echinoidea; Temnopleuroida; Toxopneustidae
Description: uncharacterized LOC121417415
Source: RNAcentral